AAAGUCGUAACAAGGUUUCCGUAGGUGAACCUGCGGAAGGAUCAUUAUCACGUAUCCACGUAUAAACCAAACUGUGAACUGUUCUCUUGCCUUUGGAAAUGGAAAGUUGAGACUGUGUGUGUGUUUAGAGCACAAACUCGUCUUUUAGUGUGGUUUUUCAGAUGAGCACAGCUUUUCUCGCCUUCGUAUCAACGAUAACAUGGCUUUCCUUCCAAAGCGUAUUAUAAUAAUCACACAUUACUCUUUUUAUUAACCAAUUGAACCCCCUUUUAUUUAACUAUUAAUACUGAAUUGUUUCUUACUUGCGCCUCUCUGGUGCGAGAAGAAAUUUACAUACGAAACUAAGAAACAACUCUUAGCAACGGAUAUCUUGGCUCUC
Molecule: unclassified non-coding RNA, 379 nt
Filed under: Basidiomycota sp.
Lineage: Eukaryota; Fungi; Basidiomycota
Description: partial contains small subunit ribosomal RNA, internal transcribed spacer 1, and 5.8S ribosomal RNA
Rfam family: Eukaryotic small subunit ribosomal RNA (bases 1-47)
Source: RNAcentral